GACGAACGCUGGCGGCGUGCUUAACACAUGCAAGUCGAACGGAAAGGCCCCUUUGGGGGUACUCGAGUGGCGAACGGGUGCGUAACACGUGAGUAAGCUGCCCUUGACUUCGGGAUAACUUCAGGAAACUGGGGCUAAUACCGGUAAGGAAUCCUUGCUGCAUGGGGGUGGUUGGAAAGCUCCGGCGGGUUUGGCUGGACUCGCGGCUUAUCAGCUAGCUGGUGAGGUAUUGUCGUACCAAGGCUUUGACGGGUAGCCGGCCUGGGAGGGCGACCAGCGACAUUGGGACUGCGAGAGGGCCCAGACUCGUACGGGAGGCAGCAGUGGGGAAUAUUGCACAAUGGGCGGAAGUCUGAUGCAGCAACGCCGCGUGCGGAAUGCCGGCCUUCGGGUUGUAAACCGCUGUCAGCAGGGGCGAAGCUUUUGUGACGGUACCUGCAGAAGAAGCACCGGCUAACUACGUG
RNAcentral lists this ribosomal RNA (464 nucleotides) under uncultured bacterium. Its description in RNAcentral is "partial 16S ribosomal RNA". It matches the Rfam family "Bacterial small subunit ribosomal RNA", at positions 28 to 507 of the family's 1533-position model. The record is from RNAcentral.